CCGCUGCGUGAAGGGGAGGGGGCGCCGGCGGAGCGGGUCCUCGGCAACCGAGCUCGGGUUGCCAUGGCGACGGGGAGGUCUUUAAGGGCCUGGUAGUCUCUACAAACACACUGCACCUGCUCUUUCUCUUGGCCCUCGUGAGGAGACACCUCAGGUGCCAAGGAAGAGUGAAUUGUCACAUCAGAGUGAGAGAACAGAGCAGUGCCCUCAGAGUACCUCAAAGUACCAUCAGUGGCAAGGACCAGAGAAGAACAAAGUGAUAAAUGCACAGAGGAGGAAGAACAAGGUUCAGCAUUGGCUAUAUGGACGCUGAUUCCUUUAAUGAUCAAGUCCUCUCCACAAAGAGACUGGGCCACCUGAUCAUCUGCACAUGUAACAAAGGCAAACGCCCUGAACGGUUUGGGAAUGAAGACGUCUGCCACUUCUCCGUACUGGCAAAAAAACCUGCCGACUCUCAUCGGCGGUCAUGUCCCCUGUACAGCGCCCAGCAAACACCUCCCUGCUUCUCAAAGGCUCAUCUGGGCUUUGCUUAG
Molecule: long non-coding RNA, 533 nt
Filed under: Felis catus (domestic cat)
Lineage: Eukaryota; Metazoa; Chordata; Mammalia; Carnivora; Felidae
Description: lncRNA (ENSFCAG00000050070.1)
Source: RNAcentral